CUCAGAGUUCUGGAGGUUGGGAAGUCCAAGAUCAAGGCACCAACAGGUUUAUCUGGUAUGGACUGCUGUCUAAACCCAAGAUGAUUUCUUGUUGCUGCAUACUUUGGAGAGGAACAUUGUGUCCUCAUGUGGUAGAAGGUGAAAGGGCAAUUGACCAAAUGCUGCAUAAAACAUGUUUUACAAGUCCCUUAAUUCCAUUUAUGGGGGAGUAGCCCUCACAGACUAAUCACCUCUUAAAGGCCCUACCUCUCUUUUUCUUUUUUUGUUCCAGGGAUUGAAUGCAGGAGUGCUUAACCACUGAGCUAAGUCCCCAGCCCUUUUUAUUUUGACACAGGGUCUUGCUAGAUUGCUUAAGGCCUUCCUAAAUUAUGGAGGCUGGCCUUGAACUUGGGAGCCUCCUCCUUCAAGCCUCCUGAGUUGCUGGGAUUACAGGCAUAUGCCACUAUGCCUAGCUAAAAGCCCUACCCCUUACUGCCAUUACCUUAGCCAUUAAGUUUCAACACCUCCGUUUUGCAGGGAACAUAACCAUAGCAGAAUGAAAUUAAUCCAGUUAUAAAACAACAAGUCACCUUGAAAAUGUGUACUCCAAGAAAAUGUAUUUCAUCAGAUUGGGAUAAUGGAGGAAACAUUCAUUCAAUUCAACAAAUAUCUAUGGAGUGCCUACAGGAGCCAGGUGUAGAUGAUAAUAGCAAAUACAAGUGAGUUCCCUGCUCUCCUUGAGUUGACAUUCUAUUGUAGGAAAGACAGCCAUACUGUUUUCAAAUAAAUCCAGAAGAUGACACCUGCUCUGAAGAAACAAAACAGGCCAACACAAUGACAAGAAUUCAGGUGAUCUGAACUAUGAUCUCAUCGUUGUCAAGAAGUAUCUCUACAGCCUUCAGCAGGUUACCUCUCUGGCUUUAUUUUCCCCACUCAUACAAGAGGACUUGGAUUUAUAUCUAAACUUGCUUCCUAGUAUGGUAUUCUUGACUUGAUGAUUCAAGAACUGUCCAUUACAUCAAUAAACAUGAAUGUUUACCAUGGAGAAACAGACAUGGAAAUAAUGAUGAAAUGGUGUGAAAAGUCUUGGUAUCUUCAGCUUUUCUCAGUCCAAGAAAUAUGUCAUUAAAGGGUUUAAGAAGAUAAUGGGCAAAACUGCCUCAUUUGCUAGUCCUACUGCUGGUGUUACAUUUAAUUUUAGGCCAAACUAUUUUUCCCACCAAGAUUGUAAUCUGCAC
RNAcentral lists this long non-coding RNA (1217 nucleotides) under Marmota monax (woodchuck). The record is from RNAcentral. Lineage: Eukaryota; Metazoa; Chordata; Mammalia; Rodentia; Sciuridae.